UUAAAAAGAGUGGGAUAUGAGAAGAGACUUAUCCUGCGGGGUCUGCAAAAUGUCUGGAAAACCAGUUUGUGUUGGUGAUUUUGAACAAUACUCCAAGAGAGUUCUUCCAAAAGCAGUGUACGACUAUUACCGAUCAGGAGCAGACAAUCAACAAACAUUAGCCGAUAAUGUAGCAGCAUUUUCAAGAUUGAGGCUGUACCCACGGAUGCUCAGGGAUGUGUCUGUCAUGGACCUGUCAACCUCUGUCUUGGGGCAGAAAAUCAGCAUGCCAAUAUGUGUUGGAGCAACUGCCAUGCAGCGCAUGGCUCACGCGGAUGGAGAAACAGCCACCGCCAGAGCUUGCAGGUCGCUGGGGACAGGGAUGAUGCUCAGCUCCUGGGCCACCUCCACCAUCGAAGAAGUUGCCCAGGCGGCUCCUGAUGGCCUUCACUGGAUGCAGCUUUAUAUCUACAAGGACCGGGAGGUCACCAGGUCACUCGUGCAGCGUGCUGAGAGAGCAGGCUACAAAGGAAUCUUUGUGACGGUGGACACGCCACUCCUUGGCAAGCGCUUUGACGAUGUACGCAACAAAUUCCAGCUUCCCCCGCACCUCAGAAUGAAAAAUUUCAACACUGACGAUUUGGCAUUUUCCUCCGAGAAAGGCUACGGCGAAAAUAGCGGACUGGCUGUUUAUGUAGCCCAAGCGAUUGAUCCGUCCGUCAAGUGGGAGGAUAUUAAAUGGCUCAGAGGACUGACAUCUCUGCCGAUCGUCGCUAAAGGAAUUCUCCGAGCUGAUGAUGCUAGAGAAGCUGUGAAGCACGGCGUAAAUGGGAUCCUGGUGUCAAACCAUGGUGCGCGCCAACUGGAUGGUGUGCCAGCAACUAUUGACGUCUUGCCGGAAAUUGUUGAGGCUGUGGGAGGGAAGGUGGAGGUGUUCCUGGAUGGUGGAGUGAGAAAAGGCACGGAUGUUCUCAAGGCAUUAGCUCUUGGUGCCACAGCGGUGUUCAUUGGAAGACCUAUCAUCUGGGGGUUGGCUUAUCAGGGUGAAGAAGGGGCAAAAGAAGUUCUCCAGAUGCUGAAGGAAGAAUUCCAGCUAGCAAUGGCACUUUCUGAUGCUGUCUUUGGGGGCUCCUUCUGGCCUUCCAACUCUAGCAUGAUCAGAAGGAAGAAGAUUGGACCCUUUCCCCACUCCACAUUUUCAGGGGUGGCCGACAGCUUUGUUCUCCCAACUUCCUCCUUCAAGUGGACUGUGAAAGCAAGCUCACUACUUGCAGUACACCAGAAACACCAGUAAGGGAUCAGUUCCCUUCAACUCCACCCCAGCUCUGCAGCAAUGAGCCCUGGAAGGGAUGCCGGAGCGUGAAAGGGAUUGACGCGACAUUGGUACGAAGAACUUCCCCUGCUGCGUCCAAGAUUUAGCACAAAAACGGUGUGGCUCUGGACAAAGCCACCCUAUCCACUGUGGCCAGGUUGUUCUGUUUGGGCCCCAUGAUGAAACCCUUACUUAGGAGAGUAGCCCUAUUGGUUUAUAGGGAGCUAUUUCUGAAAGAAGUCCAUGGGCCAGGUUUUCCUCAGUGCUCAGCACCCCGCGGAGCACUUUUGAAAAUCUGGCCCCUAGUGCGAAUAAGGAUGGCAAGAGUGGGCCCUAAUUCUCUCCCGGUGCACACAAUUGUAGUUGUUGUCCAGCUAACCAGAAAUUGCUGACUUUUCAAUAUGUAUACAGAUGCGAAGAACUUUUCUCAGAUGUUAACAUGCAUGUCUGGAAGUAGCUUAGCUGUUAAAAUGAAACUAUAAACAGAAAUGUUUUGAUAGCAAACAACUCCCAAAAUAUCAAAGUUUAAAGGAUACCUCUUGUUCACUGUUUAUAGAAGCUACACUUCAGAUUGUCCAGAUUAAAUAUUCCUUUCGUAUCAACAUGGCAUCGGUUCCCCUAGCAACUACAUUACUGUGUAAACAGCGUAGGCUGGGAGCUGUGUAACUAUCUUGGAGGCUUUUGAGAUGCAAGGGGUUCUACAGCCAAUCCGGAGUUUGGAGGUUCACAGUCUUAACUGACACAAAUCUCUUUGCACUUAAAUUAUAAUAACAUAUGAAUACCAACCGUAAGCCAGCUCGUCAGCUGGUAUAAAUCCAUGUAGUCCUGGUGACUUGAACACCAGCUGGAGUUCUGCUAUAUUUUUACUUAAAAAAAAUUAACAUUGGUUUAGAUGAUUUCUUGGACAAAUUUCACUUCCCUGAAGUAUAAAUACUAAAUAAUAGUAAUGAUGCAGUAAGUGCUGAGUAUGAUGUCAGCCACACAUCUUAAAGCAUUUCACACGAGGAGAGUAUCUGUGCAUUAUUCUACAGAUGGGAAAACUGACAUGCAGAAACUGCUAAGAAAGUAAGUAAAAUUGAAUGUGUGUCCUCUUAUUUCCGUUGAUGAUGUAUAAAGAAGGCCUGGACAUGCGU
Mauremys mutica (yellowpond turtle) is the source of this 2424-nucleotide RNA transcript. It is a transcript of the gene named hydroxyacid oxidase 1, with no coding region annotated. NCBI's taxonomy places the organism in Eukaryota, Metazoa, Chordata, Testudines, Geoemydidae. The record is from RefSeq and is a predicted model, not a curated record. The transcript is spliced from 9 exons.